Molecule: ribosomal RNA, 254 nt
Filed under: uncultured bacterium
Lineage: Bacteria
Description: partial 16S ribosomal RNA
Rfam family: Bacterial small subunit ribosomal RNA
Source: RNAcentral
UACGGGGGUAGCAAGCGUUGUUCGGAUUUACUGGGCGUAAAGGGCGCGUAGGCGGUCGUGACAAGUCACUUGUGAAAUCUCCGGGCUUAACUCGGAACGGUCAAGUGAUACUGUCGGACUAGAGUACAGAAGGGGCAACUGGAAUUCUCGGUGUAGCGGUGAAAUGCGUAGAUAUCGAGAGGAACACCUGCGGCGAAGGCGGGUUGCUGGGCUGAUACUGACGCUGAGGCGCGAAAGCCAGGGGAGCGAACGGG